Molecule: ribosomal RNA, 253 nt
Filed under: uncultured bacterium
Lineage: Bacteria
Description: partial 16S ribosomal RNA
Rfam family: Bacterial small subunit ribosomal RNA
Source: RNAcentral
UACAGAGGGGGCAAGCGUUGUUCGGAAUUACUGGGCGUAAAGGGCGCGUAGGCGGCCUGCUAAGUCGAACGUGAAAUCCCUGGGCUCAACCCAGGAACUGCGUCCGAUACUGGUUGGCUUGAAUCCGGGAGAGGGAUGUGGAAUUCCAGGUGUAGCGGUGAAAUGCGCAGAUAUCAGGAAGAACACCCGUGGCGAAGGCGGCUCUCUGGGACGGUACUGACGCUGAGGCACGAAAGCGUGGGGAGCAAACAGG